This 397-nucleotide ribosomal RNA is filed under the name uncultured bacterium. Its description in RNAcentral is "bacterial SSU rRNA". It matches the Rfam family "Bacterial small subunit ribosomal RNA", at positions 30 to 426 of the family's 1533-position model. The record is from RNAcentral.
AUUGAACGCUGGCGGCAUGCUUUACACAUGCAAGUCGAACGGUAACAGGCCUUCGGGCGCUGACGAGUGGCGAACGGGUGAGUAAUGCAUCGGAACGUGCCCAGUCGUGGGGGAUAACGCAGCGAAAGCUGUGCUAAUACCGCAUACGAUCUGCGGAUGAAAGCGGGGGACCUUUCGGGCCUCGCGCGAUUGGAGCGGCCGAUGUCAGAUUAGCUAGUUGGUGGGGUAAGGGCCUACCAAGGCUACGAUCUGUAGUUGGUCUGAGAGGACGACCAGCCACACUGGGACUGAGACACGGCCCAGACUCCUACGGGAGGCAGCAGUGGGGAAGUUUUGGUACAAUGGGCGCAAGCCUGAUCCAGCAAUGCCGCGUGCAGGAAGAAGGCCUUCGGUUGGU